Molecule: long non-coding RNA, 1056 nt
Filed under: Sus scrofa (pig)
Lineage: Eukaryota; Metazoa; Chordata; Mammalia; Artiodactyla; Suidae
Description: lncRNA (ENSSSCG00045018539.1)
Source: RNAcentral
AGAGGGGGGCAGGAAGCCAGAGGGACACCGCCCGGCGGGGCCUGGGCAGAGGGCGGCGUGACUGCCCACCUUUUAGGGGCUCUCUGGCAAGGGUGGGGCAGGAGCGCUCCCCAGGGACAGCAAGAAUCCAGGACAGAAAACCCAGCCAGGACAGAAAAGGUGGAAGCGUCAGAUCUGAAGGCAAAGCCGUUUUAAGACACGCUGAUAGAUUCGUCACAGGGGGUGAGAAAAGAAAGGAAGUCUCAGGACUGCAAGCCUGUGGUCUGUGCCACAGGGAGGGUGUCUGCCGGGAAGAGAGGCUGGGAGAAGCCAUGAGCCAGCCUGGCCGGGGCGGGGCGGGGGCUGGAGGUCCGCAAGGCUUAGGCCCUGGGCGUCCAGGCGGGGCUGGAGGGCCGGAUGGGCUGGGAAGGGCUGAGAGACGUGGGACAGGUGGGCAGGGUAGAGGCCGAGGCGUGGCGGGUGCGUGGGUUGCGAGCUGGGAAACGAAGAGACGUGUGGCAGGUGCAGACCGAGCUGACGCUGGGCUGGGAGGAGCAGAGAAGCCCCGAGCCGCCUGCGGGUGAGGAAACAGAAGCCUGGAAUGGGCAGUGCCUGUGCGGAGGCCACACAGCACGAGGCAGGCUUCCAGCACACACCUGCGAGGGCUGGUACCCACCACCGUGCCCGGCCCUGGUGGUGGUCCUGGGAUGUUCAGCCUUUGACCCCACACGCCUCACCGUUCCUCUGUGUCGCUGGGUUGUGCAAGACCAUGUCAGCUUUGACAGCGAAAUCCACUGCGAGAUGGACCACCCAGAGCCUCUGACAUUUGGUGUUGGAACAGACAGGGAACACGUGCGCAGCUCUCCGUGUUUGUCCCCGUGGACAUCUGCUGUCUUAGCCGCCCACGGCUCUCCCUCCUGGAGUUGUUCUGGAUACGCUCUGCUCUCCACCUCGACCACAGGUAUCGUCCUAGAACCCCUGCAGACAGGAGGCGCCUUCGUGCUGGUGUCCUUGCGCAGUGGGCAUCCAGGGGCUGCGACAGCCACCGCCCCUCCACCUGGAGGAGCCCACUUGGAC